RNAcentral lists this ribosomal RNA (324 nucleotides) under uncultured eukaryote. RNAcentral describes it as "partial 18S ribosomal RNA". It matches the Rfam family "Eukaryotic small subunit ribosomal RNA", at positions 1470 to 1796 of the family's 1831-position model. The record is from RNAcentral.
CCCUUAGAUGUUCUGGGCCGCACGCGCGCUACACUGAACAGAUCAGCGUGUAUUCCCUUCCUGAGAAGGACGGGUAAACCGCUGAGCCCUGUUCAUGGUAGGGAUCGGGGCUUGCAAUUAUUCCCCGUGAACCAGGAAUUCCCAGUAGGCGCAAGUCAUAAGCUUGCGUCGAUUACGUCCCUGCCCUUUGUACACACCGCCCGUCGCUACUACCGAUUGAACGUUUUAGUGAGGUCCUCGGACUGUUUGCCUGGCGGUUUACCCUGCUUGGCUGGCGGGAAGACGACCAAACCUGAGCGUUUAGAGGAAGUAAAANUCGUAACA